Molecule: RNase P RNA, 323 nt
Filed under: Candidatus Woesearchaeota archaeon
Lineage: Archaea; Nanobdellati; Candidatus Woesearchaeota
Description: RNase P RNA component
Rfam family: Archaeal RNase P
About the family: Ribonuclease P (RNase P) is a ubiquitous endoribonuclease, found in archaea, bacteria and eukarya as well as chloroplasts and mitochondria. Its best characterised activity is the generation of mature 5'-ends of tRNAs by cleaving the 5'-leader elements of precursor-tRNAs.
Source: RNAcentral
GAGUUGGGAAGUUAAUUUCGGAAUCUGCUUUUAAAUAAGCAAGUGAAAAUAAUAUUCGCUGAUUCUGAGGAAGGUCCGCUCACCCACGUUAAUUUAUUAACAUGAAAAAGCCACCUGUGAAAACAGGUUACUGUGAAGUAAAGCUCUGUUACAGAAACGACACAGCUUAUUCAGAGUAAUGAAACCUGAGUUGAACUUAGAAGAAUAAGAUAUGAUGAGACGAACAUCUUGGCUGGUGCAAGGUUAAAAAACCGCUAAGUCAAAUGUUAACAUGUUCUGUUCGUGAAAACGAAGAACAACAGAAAGCGGCCUAAUCCCAACUC